Molecule: ribosomal RNA, 465 nt
Filed under: uncultured bacterium
Lineage: Bacteria
Description: partial 16S ribosomal RNA
Rfam family: Bacterial small subunit ribosomal RNA
Source: RNAcentral
GACGAACGCUGGCGGCGUGCUUAACACAUGCAAGUCGAACGGAAAGGCCCUGCUUGCAGGGUACUCGAGUGGCGAACGGGUGAGUAACACGAGGGUGAUCUGCCCUGCACCUCGGGAUAAGCCUGGGAAACUGGGUCUAAUACCGGAUAGGAGUCAUUUUUAGUGUGAUGGUUGGAAAGAUUUUUCGGUGUAGGAUGAGCUCGCGGCCUAUGCGCUUGUUGGGGGGGGAAUGGCCUACCAAGGCGGCGAGGGGUAGGCGGCCUGAGAGGGUGGACGGCCACAAUGGGACUGAGGGACGGCCCAGGCGCCUACGGGAGGCAACGGUGGGGAAUAUUGCGCAAUGGGGGCGAGCCUGAUGCAGCGACGCCGCGGUGGGGAUGACGGGCUUCGGGUUGUGAAAUCCUUUCGCUCGGGACGAAGCUUUUUGUGACGGUACCUGGAUAAGAAGCACCGGCUAACUACGUG